GUUGAUAUUACUAAUUCUUGUAAAUGUUUUAAUUGAAGGACACUCGCAUCUGAAGAUAGCGGGAGUUUAACAAAUUGCGGAUAUGAUGAUGGAACGGUCCGAGAUGUGACAAGAAGAGCAUACUCAUCAAGGACCUAAAUCGCGUAACGAUCGCAAAUAAGUAAUGGCAAGGAAUGCCCGUCGGGGCAAGCAUUACCAGGUGCACAUUUUAAACUUAUAGUACAAACAGUAAUAUGCAACAAAUACAUAGUGAAUGACAGUUGCAUAUAGAAUAUGAAACUUGGAAAAACCUGGAUAGGUUACCUAUCCAGGAUGACGCUUCCAAGAGAAAUUCAGUAGAGAAUAUGUAUUAUUCACAAAUUGUGAAUAACAAGACAAUAACAGAAUUCAGUUUAUAUAGAAACUUGGACGAGAGUGAUCAUCCAAGUAAGUAUUCUCAAUAUAAAUCCUAUUGAGAAAAGUAAUGAUCACAUCAACAAAUGUGAAUAAAUGUUUAUAAAAAGGGACAUUUUACAUGUUCAAGGAUAAACGACUAAAACUAAUAAUUGUUAACUAACAAUUAAAUAAAGUUUUACCAAAUGAAAUCAUAAAUAUGGAAAUAAUUUGAGGAGUUACUUACAUGGGACGUGAUGUGGUAAUUAUAAUAAGGUCACGCGUACCAUGUGUUGAUCGCUUACUCUGGCCAAGUAAGUAGUGAACACAUGAUAGCAUGAGCUUCUUAUAAUGAGCGCAGUUAUGUCCGAUGUAGUAAGGUCAAGAUGAAUGAAAAUUUAAAGGAUCCUUAGGGUCAAGAAAUCUUAUGGGCAUACUCGUAUAAAUGGUUUUCGCGGGAACCAUAAAAACGAUGUAUGGCGCACAUAGAAAUAAAUGACCCAAGGAAAUUCGUGACAUAAGUCAUUUCGGACGAAACAACCAUGGUAGACAAAAAGGGCAUUGUAAAACCAAAGUAUAAAUGACCCGCGGGGUCAUAGAAACAAAGGUAUUGCCCACAUGGGAAAAACGAUCAAAGUCGUUGACUUUGGUCGCAGUAAAGAAAUGAUGAUGAUGAUGAUAAUCAUCAUUCAUAGUUUAUAAGACUGUCAAGGAUGGUCGAAUAAAGAAUAAAGGUUUGGUUGAAUAAAAGCGAUGGAUUUCGCUAAGACAACCAAACAAAUUAAAACGAAAUCUUAAUGUAUACCGGAAUGCUUGCACUAAUAAU
RNAcentral lists this long non-coding RNA (1198 nucleotides) under Helianthus annuus (common sunflower). RNAcentral describes it as "hypothetical non coding rna". Lineage: Eukaryota; Viridiplantae; Streptophyta; Magnoliopsida; Asterales; Asteraceae. The record is from RNAcentral.